RNAcentral lists this ribosomal RNA (440 nucleotides) under uncultured bacterium. RNAcentral's name for it is "partial 16S ribosomal RNA". It matches the Rfam family "Bacterial small subunit ribosomal RNA", at positions 338 to 795 of the family's 1533-position model. The record is from RNAcentral.
CCUACGGGUGGCAGCAGUGGGGAAUCUUUCACAAUGGGGGAAACCCUGAUGCAGCGACGCCGCGUGAGUGAAGAAGUACCUCGGUAUGUAAACCUCUAUCAGCAGCGAGAAAAAUGACGGUACCUGAUGAAGAAGCACCGGCUAACUACGUGCCAGCAGCCGCGGUCAUACGUAGGGGCCCAGCGUUAUCCGGAUUUACUGGGUGUAAAGGGAGCGUAGACGGAUAUGAAAGUGUGAAGGGAAAGGGGGGGGUCCAAACCUCAGACUCCUUUGGAAACUGUAUGGCUGGAGAGCCGGAGAGGUAAGUGGAAUUCGUAGUGUAGCGGUGAAAUGCGUAGAUAUUAGAAAGAACACCAAUGGCGAAGGCAGCUUACUGGAAUGUAACUGACAUUGAGGCACGAAAGCGUGGGGAGCAAACAGGAUUAGAUACCCGAGUAGUC